CCCCAGCCCAGGCCGAGAGCUGCGUCCGAAACCAAACCCGCCCUUCGCGCGUCGCAGAGGAGAUUCUUCUUUUUUUUCCUUUUUUUCUUUUUUUCCCCCCUUUUUAUUUUUAAUCACCAUUAUUUUUAUUAUUAUUAUUAUUAUUAUUAUUAUUAUUUUUAUUGUGAAUAGCCCUGCCCCGAGCACGGUGGCGGCGGCGGCGCCGGGGGCAGGGAGGCUGUCCCGGUUAUUUAUUCUCUCCCCGCAGAGCUGUCCCUCCGGCUCACCAUGAUGUUCCGAGACCAGGUCGGCGUGUUGGCCGGGUGGUUCAAGGGCUGGAACGAGUGCGAGCAGACUGUUGCGCUGCUCUCCCUGCUCAAACGCGUCAGCCGGACCCAGGCUCGCUUCCUCCAGCUCUGCCUCGAGCAUUCCCUGGCAGACUGCACCGAGCUCCACAUCCUCGAAGGGGAGGCCAACAACCCCGGAAUCAUCAACCAGUGGCAACAGGAAUCCAAGGAUAAAGUGAUUUCCCUCUUGCUAACCCACCUGCCUUUACUGAAGCCCGGCAACAUCGAGGCGAAGGUCGAGUACAUGAAACUCCUGCCCAAAAUCCUGGCGCACUCGAUCGAGCACAACCAGCACAUCGAGGAGAGCAGGCAGCUGCUGUCCUACGCCCUGAUCCACCCCGCCACCUCCCUGGAGGACAGGAGCGCCCUGGCCAUGUGGCUCAACCACCUGGAGGACCGCACGUCGGGGGGCUUCGGCGGGCAGGGCCGGGGCCGCUCGGACUCGGUGGACUACGGGCAGGCUCACUACUAUCACCAAAGACAGAACUCCGACGACAAACUCAACGGGUGGCAGAACUCUCGGGACUCGGGGAUAAGCGUCAGCGCUUCCAGCUGGCAGGACAAAAACCUGGCGUGCGAGAACGGCCACCUGCCCCUCUACUCCUCCUCCUCCGUCCCCACCACCAUCAACACCAUCGGCACUAGCACAAGCACCAUUCUCUCAGGCCAGACACACCACAGCCCUUUGAAACGCUCUGUGUCCCUUACCCCACCCAUGAAUGUGCCAAACCAGCCUCUAGGACAUGGAUGGAUGUCUCAUGAGGACUUACGGGCUAGAGGACCCCAGUGCAUCCCUUCCGAUCAUGCCCCCCUGUCUCCACAAAGCAGUGUAGCCUCUUCGGGAAGUGGUGGGAGUGAACAUUUAGAAGAUCAGCCUUCCGCUCGUAACACAUUCCAGGAGGAAGGGAGUGGGAUGAAAGAUGUCCCGGCCUGGCUGAAGAGCCUCCGGCUGCACAAAUACGCCGCCCUCUUCUCCCAGAUGACGUACGAGGAGAUGAUGGCCCUCACCGAAUGCCAGCUCGAGGCACAGAACGUUACCAAAGGCGCAAGACACAAAAUAGUCAUCAGUAUCCAAAAGCUAAAAGAAAGACAAAACCUGCUCAAAUCUCUAGAAAGGGACAUCCUGGAAGGUGGCAACUUGCGUGUCCCGCUGCAGGAACUACACCAAAUGAUCCUCACCCCCAUCAAAGCCUACUCUUCCCAGAACUCGAGCACGGAGGAGCACAGCCGGGACGCGGACUCGCACCACCCCUCCUCCCUGAUCGGCUCCGACGGCCAGGGCUCUGACUGCAAGGACUCUGCCGCGGGUGGGAUGCAGCAGCACCACUUGCCAGGAUGUGAGGGCGAGUCGGGGGGGGCCCCUCUUCCCGAGGGUGACCUGCCUGGACAGUUCACCCGAGUGAUGGGGAAAGUCUGCACACAACUUUUAGUUUCCCGACCCGACGAAGAGAAUAUAAGUUCCUAUUUACAGCUCAUAGACAAAUGUCUAAUCCACGAGGCGUUUACAGAGAUCCAGAAGAAGCGGCUGCUGUCAUGGAAACAGCAGGUGCAGAAACUCUUUCGGUCUUUCCCUCGGAAAUCCCUCCUGGAGCUGUCAGGCUAUCGGCAGCAGAGGAGCCGAGGCUUUGGCCAGUCGAACUCCCUCCCGACAGCCGGAUCCGCGGGGGCAGGGCUGGGCCGGAGGAACCCCCGCCAGUUCCAGAUCCCCUCCCGCAACCUCCCCACGGCCCGGCUGGGGCUGCUGGGCCCCACUGGGCUGCUGGGCACCCCCCAGCGCAGCCCUGCCGCCAGCCCCGCCAUCCUCAAGCAAGGCAGACAGAACCUCUGGUUUGCCAACCCUGGGGGCAGUAACAGCAUGCCCAGCCGGAGCCACAGCUCGGUGCAGAGGACGCGCUCGCUGCCGGUCCACACCUCCCCGCAGACCAUGCUGAUGUUUCAGCAGCCAGAGUUCCAGGUGCCGGUGACUGAACCUGACAUCAACAACAGGCUGGAGUCCCUGUGCCUGAGCAUGACGGAGCACGCACUCAGCGGUGAGCAUUCCCUCCUCCUCGGGCUCUUCCAGCACGUCCACGCCGCCUCCGCUGAGCCCCCUAGCACCUGCCCCUGCCCCGCGCCCCCCAAAAGCUGGGACAGGCUGUGGCUGUGAGGGGGCGGGAUGGUGGCGGGGCUGGAUGCAGGGAUGCUCCCAGGGAUGCUCCCGAGGGUGUUCAGACAGGGAUAUUGUCUCCCCUCGGCGAGGUGCCGGGGCAGGGGGUGAAGCCGAACACAGGGAUCGCACCAGCACUAGUGGAGUCUGUGCUAAUUAGCCACUCGUCAGCUUGCUAAUGAUAAUUAGUGUUAGCUCGCUACUCUCGUUAGCUCUCGAUAAAGCCCCUGCCACUGGAUGGGUCACAGGCUUUGGAGUGUUUUCCCUUCUGCCACCGGAUCCCUCGUUUGGCUGGGGGGUGUGGGAGCCCUGCCGGGCGCUGGUGGGUGCCAGUGGAUAACGGGCACAGGGAGGGAGGAGGACCAGGGGGAAAAACAAGCAGAAAAGAUGGAAAAAGCAGCAGCAGCAGCAGCGUGAUGGAGAGCCCAGCGCAGCACAAAGCACCGGCACCAGAAGCUCCCAGUGCCCCUCGCCGACAAGGGAUGAGCCCGGAGACGGGAUGAGCACGGCCACCAGCAUCGCCCAGACCUGGGAUAACCCGAAUAACCAGCGCAGGUCGUGCUCCCGGCAAUCCUGGACUGCACCGGAUGGUUGGGGACAGGAGUCCUUGGAGAGGAUGAGAGCCACCCGGAGCCCUGGGAGAGGACAAGUGCCACCAGGAGUCCUCGGGGAGGACAAGUGCCACCGGGCUCCCUGAGGAUGCGACAGCCCUUCCCGGGGAGAGGGACACGAGAACAAGGACUGUGAGAGGCAGCAGGGCCCUGGCAGCAUCCCUGGCCGGGAAAACAAGGACACUGCUGUCACCCGAAGCGUUUCCCCGGCGUGUUCCCAGGCGAGGCUUAGCUGUCUUGUUCCUCUGCAGGAUGGUGUCGACAGAACCUCCACAAUCUAGAAGGCGUCGCGACGGGGACGCUGGCCGGGACAACAACUGCUGCGGGUCCAGCGGCGAGGUCGGGGCUUGCAGGGAGCCUCAGCGAUAGCUUGCAUCCUUUCUCCUCUCCUCUCUCCUUCUCUCUCUCUCUCUCUCUCUCUCUCCUGUUUUAAUUUUGUGAAUGUGUAGAUUGUCCUUGUGAACAUAUCAUUAGACUUGGAAUUUGUGUUGUCAUUUAUUACAUCCAUGCUGGGAGCGGGGUUGGGGGGGAAAGGUGGCGGAAGCUCAGCGGCGAUGACGGAGCAGCGCGGGGAGGUCGGGGGGGACGCGGAGCAGAGCGCUGACAACAGAGGGGUCACCGGAGCACCGUGGGCAAACCCUGGUCCUGGAUGAGGAUACCAAGGAGUACUGAACGUCACGCAGGGUUGUGUGGCCCAAAAAGCCCUCUGGGGAGGAUUUGCCUGCCCCGCCGGCGGUCCCGCCUCCUGAGUUCCGCUGCGUUCACGGACUGGCCCAGCGAGCCCAGAUUUGAACGGAAAUAGUAAAAUAACCCCAGAAUUUGCUUUCGGUUUAGCCAAGAGACCCACAGUUUGGAGGCAGCAUUGUGCUCAGGGCAGCGGAGGGUCGGCGGGUGCCCAUCCCUGUGUCCCUGCAUGGAUCGGGAUGCUGGAUGGAGUGGGGGCAUCUCACCCAGAGGAGGGUCCCAGGGGAUGUUGGUGAAGUUGGGGGACACUGCGAGAGUUUCGGUGUCUCUUGCCUUGCCUGUGCAAGUACCAGGAAGCUGCUGCAUCCUGGCUUCACACAUCUGGCCCAGCCUGCCAAAAUCCAGCCAUGAUGGGCUCUUCCAGCCCUGGAGUGGCCAACAAGGGAUGAAGGAUCCCCCAGAUAAAACCCAAGCCCCAAAGGGCACCAAAAUGCAGCUUCACAGCCCUGUUUUCUUGGCAUUAACUAUGUGCCAGGCAGGAGAUGGGGAUGGCAGUGGCUGGGCUGCUCCUCACUCGCUGCUGCUUUUUAUAACAGGAGCUAAAUUUGGUGUUAAAGAGGUAAAUCUGGCCUGGUGCUGCUCAGACCUGCAGCACUGCUCCCACCUCCCACUGGUCCCGAUGCUGCUCCACGUCCUCUGAUGGAAUAAUAAUAAAUGUGAAAUUAGUUAAUGAAGGGAUGUGAUGGGCUGCAGCAAUAUUCCCAAUUGGCACUGACGGGCAGGAUCAUGUGCUGGGAUCGGCGGGAGCCAGGCUGGGGGCUGAGGGGGAGCCGGAGCAUUGGCAGGGCUGGGAGAUGUGUGAAUCCCAGGAGAUGUGUGAAUCCUUUUGCCAUGCAGUGUUUUUUAAGUUGUUGUUUCCUAAAAAAAAAAAAAAAACGAACAAACAAACCAAACCCAAGUGCCAAAUGCAAUGUUUUAUGUUUGCUGUUCCUUGGUGUCCUGCUUCCCAGCAGGCAGGAGACUGAGGCGGGGGUGAUGGGGGGGGUGGAGAAGGGAAAACCCGAAAGCCAGGGAGGUUGGGAAGAGGUGUGAGGAGGUGGAGGCGAAGUGGGGGGUCAGCGCUGGGGACCUGGGUCACCCCCAAGCACCCCCAGCUUGUGAGGUGUGAAGGGAACCGCCGUAGCAGGAGCCUCCCUCGGGGAGGCUCCAGUGUAUUUACAGAGCUGAAAUUCUAUUUAUUCCUUCGCUGACUGUGGACACGGAGGUUUUCUGAUUGUUCAGAGAGAUUAUUUUGGAUAUAUUACCUAUUAACUUGCUGUGGCUGGGAACCAUGAUAAUGUCUGUUAUUAACAACCACCAAAUAAUUCAAUUGUUUUUUUUGUUCCUUUUGUUGUUUAAAAAGAAAAAAAAGCAAAAGAAAAAAGCUUAUUUUCCAUUGACAGUGUAGAGGUUAAUAACGACUUAGUUGUGUUUGCUGUUUCUUGUUUUGUUUUUGUUUUUUUUUUAAGUAAAAACAACAAAGAAAGUGGCUUCAGUUGCGUUCGGGAAGUGCUGCCUGGCUCUGGCUGCCCGUGCUGAGUGCGGGCAGCAGUGCUCCAGGGGAAGAAGCAUAAGAGGAAAAGAAAUAAAAAUUAUUUAUAGAAAGAAAAAAAUCAAAAAAAGAAAAAAAAAAAGAAAACUAAAAAAAAAACCCACACAAACCCCAACAGUUGCAUGAGCGAGGCUGUGAAGUCAAAUAUUCAGUAAUAAAGCGGCAGUGCCUUUCUUUUUUGUAUCCCCCGCUCACCCCGCUGCAACUGUCCCAUCCCACGCCGGAGGAGUCGCCGCCGCGGGGUCCUGGGCGUGGGGCGGGAAUGUCCCCCCCAAUCCCGCUGCUCUCCCAGAGCCAGCCCCGGGCCCCCCCAGCACCGCCGGGGACCUUUUUCCUGGUGCUGUUCCCCUGAGCCGUCCCCGGCUGCGCGGGGAGCCCGGCCAGCUCAGCACCCAAGUGGCCUUGGGUCCGGCGGAUGCUCCCGCGGGGAAACAACCCCUGUCCCUUCCAGGUGUGUCCCCCUCCCCAGGGACAAGCCCUGAGCUCGGCUGGGCUGGAGCUGGGCUUUACCUGUGCUCGCUCAGCUCAUCAAAACCCUUGGAGGAGUUGGGAAGGGGGAGGUCAAGCCCGGCCAGCAUCCAGCAGGAAAAUCCAAAACUGUGAUUGCCGCCCGCGAGCGGAGCCGGGGUUGGGUCAGCACUUAGGGGAAGCGAUUUCUGUUGUCACCUUUCUCCAUGUCGGGGUGUGGCUGCGCCCCAGGUUUGGCUUUUGGAAUGUGCCUGAUGGAAAGUGGGUCCCGCAGACGUCUAUAAUUUGCACACAGCGACGAUAACACUAAAGUUGAUUUUAUACGAGUCAUCAGAGUUUGCAAAGUGAGUUUUAUUUUUUGUAUUCCUUUAUCUUUACUUAAAGGUGAAUGUGUAUUCCUCUGGGAGGAAUAGGAAGAAAAAAGAAAAAAAAAAAAGAAAACUACGUAAAAAAAACCAGGAAUGUUAAUAAUGUUAAACAGAAUACUUCCUCCCUUAUUAAUAUAUAUAACCCUGAUGUAUUUAUGCCUAUUGUAAGCUGACUUUAAAGAGCUUUGACCUCUCUUCUGUUGCAUGCCGUUCCCGGGCAGCCUUUCCUUGUCCAUGCAUGCCUUUCGUCCUGGUUUUUCUGUACAAAGUUAGUGCACACAAAAGAACUAUUUUUGCCUAGUUAAUGUUGCCGAGCAAUGCCUAUUUUUUAAAUUUUCCUUUUUUUUUUUUUCUUUUUUUUUUCCUUUUUUCGGUCAUAUAUGGCAAUAGCAUGUUUGUUACAUGUAAAAGCUUCCCGAUAUAAAGAAAUACUAAUGUUUGGAGAUAUGCCGGUCUUUGCAAGUGUACAGUUUUCCAAUGUUGUUCCCAGUGAAAACACCCUCGUGAUUUCCACUUGCUCCGAUGUAUUUAUUACUCAUUUCCUCCCAUGUAACUCGGAACCAUGGCUAUAUUUCAUACCCGCGGUAUAUUGAAAGUGAAGGGAGAUGAUUAAUACAAGGUUUUGUAA
Lepidothrix coronata (blue-crowned manakin) is the source of this 6822-nucleotide RNA transcript. It is a transcript of the gene named sterile alpha motif domain containing 4A, with no coding region annotated. The transcript is spliced from 12 exons. Lineage: Eukaryota; Metazoa; Chordata; Aves; Passeriformes; Pipridae. The record is from RefSeq and is a predicted model, not a curated record.